UCAGUGUGGAUCAGUAUAAUAUCAGCCUGCUGCUGAUGUUUGCAGUUUAGUCUCAGCAUAACAUUCGCAUCAUAUUUACCUCAGACAAACUGAAACAUGGUGACUGACCUCAGAGUUUUAAGUCCACAUCCUGGACUCUACAGAAAACCACACAGCUGCUUCAGUCCUGAAUCCUGCAGCUUGCUGUUAGUUGGGAAAAAACUGUCACUACUCAAGUCUAGAUGCUUCAGGGAGGAGUUGGUAUUCAGAGCUGGGAUCAGAGAGCUGACCUCUGAUGAACCACAACUCCUCGAUCUGUAUAAAGAAUGAAAGAUGUAAGUUUAUUAGACAAAGUUUGUGCCUGAAAUCAUUCAGUGUUUCAUAAUCUGUUAAGAGCUAAAAAAAAAAAAAAAAAAAAAGGUUCAGAAUGUAUUUGUCACAUCUGCUAUGGCAGGUGGCAUGGAGUAGAGAGAGUGUGGACCCAAAUACAGACAACGGAGAUGGAAUGGAACAUUAACAGAAAGCGUGUUAAUGCAUGCUCAAUCAUCCAGGUAAUCUCCAAAGGUUGAUUCUGUUCAUCUGGACGUAGCGUUUUCAGUGGGAGAAACAUUUUGUCACUCAUCCAAGUGACCUCUUCAGUCUCAGGCUGAAGAAGUCAGCCUGUCACGUUUUACCCUCUUAAAAAAGAGGGUAAAACGUGAGCAGAAGUUAAACAGCAGAAAUAAAUAUACAAAUAGAUAAAAAAUAAAUAAUAAAUAAAAAUGUUUAAAAAAAAACAAAGUGACACUGGCUUUAAAAGCACAAAAACACUCUGCUGUCUAUCUAAAUGUGGGUUUUAGUACUGACUUUAGAGACAAUUAAAAAAAAACAAAAAACAUUCGCCCAAACAAAGUCACAGAUAAACAGUUAAAAAUAUAAACUCAAGAACUGAAGAAAAAUCGUCCUGAUUUUAAACAUCCGCAUCAAGAUAAACUUGCAGAUUUACGAGUCAAAAUGUGUCAAAAAGUCUGUAUCCUUACCUGAGAGUUUCAAUUUACAGUUCGUGAUUGGUCUGUGGGCUACUUGCUGUCUGUGUCAGCUGGCCUUGUAGGAGAGUCUGAUUGGUCUGAAGUGAAAGACCCAGGAGGAAGCGGAGGAACAAGUCCAG
Molecule: long non-coding RNA, 1126 nt
Organism: Astatotilapia calliptera (eastern happy)
Lineage: Eukaryota; Metazoa; Chordata; Actinopteri; Cichliformes; Cichlidae
Source: Ensembl